Long non-coding RNA from Cyanistes caeruleus (blue tit), 386 nucleotides. RefSeq lists it as uncharacterized. Lineage: Eukaryota; Metazoa; Chordata; Aves; Passeriformes; Paridae. The record is from RefSeq and is a predicted model, not a curated record.
CAGCACCAAGGUUUCCUUUCCAAACCACUCCUGCAAAGGCCAGUAGGCUGGGGAUAGGCAAGAGAUGGAUAUUUGAACAGCAGUGUGUACCACAAAACAAGGAGUAACAUGAUAGCAAGAUGAGCAAGUUUGGAAGUCUGUAAGUUAAAAAGCUAAAGCAAGCAGCAGUGUGGUGCUUAGUUGCCAGCUGGGGUUAAACCCCAAAAAUGGUAUAAUCUAAAAUGAAGAUGAGGAAGAAGAACUGUAUCACCUCUUCAACACCAGUGAAAUGAGGAACCAUUGAAGAGAAUAUCUGAUUGUGCAAUUCUACACUGUAAUAAUGGCAAUACUCAAGGAUAUUAAACCUUACCUGAACCUAACCUAAAACUUCAAUGUGGUUUUGAGUA